Molecule: ribosomal RNA, 101 nt
Filed under: Acinetobacter soli
Lineage: Bacteria; Pseudomonadati; Pseudomonadota; Gammaproteobacteria; Moraxellales; Moraxellaceae
Source: RNAcentral
GCUGGCGACAAUAGCAAGAGUGAACCACCUGAUCCCUUCCCGAACUCAGAAGUGAAACCUCUUCGCGCUGAUGGUAGUGUGGCGUUAGCCAUGUGAGAGUA